AUUCGCGGCCUAUCAGCUUGUUGGUGAGGUAACGGCUCACCAAGGCAACGACGGGUAGCCGGCCUGAGAGGGUGACCGGCCACACUGGGACUGAGACACGGCCCAGACUCCUACGGGAGGCAGCAGUGGGGAAUAUUGGACAAUGGGCGAAAGCCUGAUCCAGCAACGCCGCGUGAGGGAUGACGGCCUUCGGGUUGUAAACCUCUUUCAGCGGGGACGAAGCGCAAGUGACGGUACCCGCAGAAGAAGCUCCGGCCAACUACGUGCCAGCAGCCGCGGUAACACGUAGGGGGCGAGCGUUGUCCGGAAUUAUUGGGCGUAAAGGGCUCGUAGGCGGUCUGUCGCGUCGGGAGUGAAAACUCAGGGCUUAACCCUGUUCGUGCUUCCGAUACGGGCAGACUUGAGGCAGGCAGGGGAGAACGGAAUUCCUGGUGUAGCGGUGGAAUGCGCAGAUAUCAGGAGGAACACCGGUGGCGAAGGCGGUUCUCUGGGCCUGUUCUGACGCUGAGGAGCGAAAGCAUGGGGAGCGAACAGGAUUAGAUACCCUGGUAGUCCAUGCCGUAAACGUUGGGUGCUAGGUGUGGGACUCAUUCCACGAGUUCCGUGCCGCAGCUAACGCAUUAAGCGCCCCGCCUGGGGAGUACGGAAU
Molecule: ribosomal RNA, 649 nt
Filed under: uncultured Actinomycetes bacterium
Lineage: Bacteria; Bacillati; Actinomycetota; Actinomycetes
Description: bacterial SSU rRNA
Rfam family: Bacterial small subunit ribosomal RNA
Source: RNAcentral